Molecule: ribosomal RNA, 253 nt
Filed under: uncultured bacterium
Lineage: Bacteria
Description: partial 16S ribosomal RNA
Rfam family: Bacterial small subunit ribosomal RNA
Source: RNAcentral
UACGAAGGGGGCUAGCGUUGCUCGGAAUUACUGGGCGUAAAGGGCGCGUAGGCGGACAGUUUAGUCAGAGGUGAAAGCCCAGGGCUCAACCUUGGAAUAGCCUUUGAUACUGGCUGUCUUGAGUUCGGGAGAGGUGAGUGGAAUGCCGAGUGUAGAGGUGAAAUUCGUAGAUAUUCGGCGGAACACCGGUGGCGAAGGCGACUCACUGGCCCGAUACUGACGCUGAGGCGCGAAAGCGUGGGGAGCAAACAGG